UACGUAGGGGGCAAGCGUUGUCCGGAUUUAUUGGGCGUAAAGAGCGUGUAGGCGGCUUGGUAGGUCUCGCGUCAAAACCUGAGGCUCAACCUCAGUUCGCGUGGGAAACCACCUAGCUAGAGUCCGGAAGAGGAGAACGGAAUGCCCAGUGUAGCGGUGAAAUGCGCAGAUAUUGGGAAGAACACCAGUGGCGAAGGCGGUUCUCUGGGACGGUACUGACGCUGAGACGCGAAAGCGUGGGGAGCGAACAGG
This 252-nucleotide ribosomal RNA is filed under the name uncultured bacterium. RNAcentral describes it as "partial 16S ribosomal RNA". It matches the Rfam family "Bacterial small subunit ribosomal RNA", at positions 524 to 776 of the family's 1533-position model. The record is from RNAcentral.